RNAcentral lists this ribosomal RNA (492 nucleotides) under uncultured bacterium. RNAcentral's name for it is "partial 16S ribosomal RNA". It matches the Rfam family "Bacterial small subunit ribosomal RNA", at positions 30 to 507 of the family's 1533-position model. The record is from RNAcentral.
AGUGAACGCUGGCGGUAGGCCUAACACAUGCAAGUCGAACGGGAGCACAGUAAGAGCUUGCUCUAACGAGUGGCGACGGGCGGACGGGUGGGGAAUAAAUCGGCAUCUACUUUUGCGUGGGGGAAGGCGUAUGGUAACUAACGCUAAUAACGCAUACGACCUGCGGGUGAAAGCAGGGAAUCUUCAGACCUUGCGCGAUUGAUUGAGCCGAUGUCGGAUUAGCUAGUUGGAGGGGUAAAGGCCACCCAAGGAGACGGUCGGUAGCUGGCCUGAGAGGGUGAGGAGGCACACUGGAACUGAUACACGGUCCAGAGUCGUACGGGAGGCAGCAGUGAGGAAUAUUGGACGAAGGGGGCAAGACUGAUCCAGCCAGACCGCAUGGGUGAAGAAGGCCUUCUGGUUGUAAAGCGCUGGUUUUGGGAAAGAAAAGUAGCUGGAGAAUACCACGCGGUUCUGACGGUACCCAAAGAAGAAGCAACGGCUAACUUCGUG